Molecule: long non-coding RNA, 1166 nt
Filed under: Oreochromis niloticus (Nile tilapia)
Lineage: Eukaryota; Metazoa; Chordata; Actinopteri; Cichliformes; Cichlidae
Description: lncRNA (ENSONIG00000030710.1)
Source: RNAcentral
CCAAGAACUGGAAAACACUCCUGACUGGAAACAACUACCUCUGCAUUGCAAUUGCACACACCUGCUGCUAUAUAUUUUUAGUAUUUUUUUAGCACUAUUUAUAUUAUUUAUAUUACUACUACUGCUGCUACAGUCUUAUGCUGCAUUAAAACAAAAACCCUUACCAACCACAACCUGGGACUACCUCAAGUAGACUAGUAUACUACUUUCCAGGGCACACUGUUGGAACACUUUAUCAUAUGUUCGGUCUUGUCUUGUUAUAUCCUGUAUGUUACCUAAAUAUAAUGCCUUAAGUCUACCUGCACUUUUUUAUUUUAUAUUACCUUAUUGUUAGGACUGUUUUUGUUGUGCAUCUGCACUUUAUUGUUGUCAAUGUUUACGCAUGGGACAGUGUGAAACGUAAUUUCAAUUCCUUUGUAUGGCAAGUACAUUUGAAGAAAUUGACAAAUAAAAUUGACUUUGACUUUGACAAAUGUCCGUUCUGUGAGCAGAAGGAGACCGUUUCAUUGUUUUUCUGAAUGUGUUCACCUCUCGGCUGUUUGUGCUUCUAAAAGCUAUCUUUAGUAGAUGUAAAAGAAGAAAAUUAAAUUUAACAAAUCAGUGAUCUGUGAAUUCGUAUUUUUCUUUUUUGUCUUUCAAUUCAGGUGCUUUACACUUGUCCUCUCCCAGCAUUCAGCACUUCAGACACUCAACACCCCACCCAGACGACAGCCUUACCCCGACCUGAUGAGAAGGAUGGAUGACCAAAGGACAAACUGGAGAGUGGAGCUGUUUUCCAACUAUGGCAGUGUCUUUAGCAAUCCUGGAACAGCUGAGAGUGGACAGAGCUGCACAGAGGACCAAAGAUCCACUCUCAGCACUUUAUAUCUGACCGGCCCCAGCACCACCCCUCUUCACCCAACGUGAGGAGGGACCUGACCCCGCCUGCACAGAGGGAGUUGUGGACAUCAUUUCUGUGUCACUGGGUUUAGGAACCUUCUCACACACACACACGGAUGAACACUGUCACUGGAAGAUGUCUCCAUUGCAUCAGCAGGAUGUAAGCAUUUAUACAAUAUUGCAGUUUGUGAUGUUUUAUACAUGUUUUUAUCUCUUCAUUUAAAACUAGGAGAUAUAAAAUAAACCAAUUUUCAUAAUAUUUUCUGUGUAUUUCUUUUAUAAUAAGU